CAGUGUUACGGAUCUUUUAGAAUUUGUCUAGCAGCUUUUCCCAUCCUGACCGGAAGACCCCC
Equus asinus (donkey) is the source of this 62-nucleotide small nuclear RNA. Its record names the gene U7. It matches the Rfam family "U7 small nuclear RNA". From Rfam's summary of the family: Animal histone pre-mRNAs are spliced by a different mechanism than nuclear pre-mRNAs and self-splicing introns. This processing involves the U7 snRNP, which contains only one RNA species: U7. The record is from Ensembl. NCBI's taxonomy places the organism in Eukaryota, Metazoa, Chordata, Mammalia, Perissodactyla, Equidae.